UGUGAAACGUCGGCCGUUGCGAUACGGCAGC
This 31-nucleotide small RNA is filed under the name Bombyx mori (domestic silkworm). Its description in RNAcentral is "ovarian small RNA-35871". Lineage: Eukaryota; Metazoa; Arthropoda; Insecta; Lepidoptera; Bombycidae. The record is from RNAcentral.